Molecule: transfer RNA, 55 nt
Filed under: Lycosa shansia
Lineage: Eukaryota; Metazoa; Arthropoda; Arachnida; Araneae; Lycosidae
Description: tRNA-His
Source: RNAcentral
AUUUAUUUAGUUUAAAUAAAACAAUAGUUUGUGGUACUACUAAUUCUAAUAAUUA